AUGCCUGUUGAAAUUACUGCUUGCAGCAAAUGGAUUCAGAUCACAUCCUAGUGGCGAAAGGGUGAGUAACACGUGAGUUAUCUACCUCAGAGACUGGGAUAACUACUGGAAACGGUAGCUAAUACCGGAUGAUAUAUGGAACGAUACGUUGUUCUAUAGUAAAAGGUGCCUUUAAAGCAUCACUUUGAGAUGAGCUUGCGACGUAUUAGCUAGUUGGUGAGGUAAUGGCUUACCAAGGCGACGAUGCGUAGCCGACCUGAGAGGGUGAUCGGCCACACUGGGACUGAGACACGGCCCAGACUCCUACGGGAGACAGCAGUUAGGGAUAUUCGUCAAUGGGGGAAACCCUGAACGAGCAAUGCCGCGUGAGUGAUGACAAGUUCUAUGGAUUGUAAAACUCUGUUGUUAGGGACGAACGACCUAUAUAGGAAAUGAUAUAGGAGUGACUGUACCUUUCAAGAAAGCUCCGGCUAACUACGUGCCAGCAGCUGC
Molecule: ribosomal RNA, 492 nt
Filed under: uncultured bacterium
Lineage: Bacteria
Description: bacterial SSU rRNA
Rfam family: Bacterial small subunit ribosomal RNA
Source: RNAcentral